CCCGGCCUCCGCGCGCCCUCCCUCGCGGAAGGGAUUUUUUUCCCUUUCCUCUGCCCGCCAUCUUCGGAAGGGGGGAACCCGGGCGGACGCGUCGGGGGAAGGUGUGUGCGGCUGCUCCGGCCGCAGCAGUGCGCUCCGGCACCAGUUCGCCCGUGCCCGACUGGGGACCUUAGUGGCCAGGGCGGGGGGCCGGGCCUGGUCUCUGCGCGGCCGCCCAGAGGAGCGGCGGCCAGGCCUUGGGGGCGACCUCCUCUCAGAGUUGUGGGCCCGGAGUCGACUUCGCUCCCCUACCAGUUGCUGGAUUACUUUAGCCAGGCCAGGAGAAGACCGAGUUCCCGUUUUGAAAUCAGCCUGAAGAGCUCUUAAUCCGGCCCAGGUCGAGUUGGAUCGGGAGGGGUGGGGGCGCUUCCCUCCUUCCUACUUGGGGUGGGCACCGGCGUGGCAACACGGUGCAAGCCCAUCUGCGGAGUAGUGCGCACCAAACCUUCUACGUGGGCUUUGAAGGCUCCCUGUGAAUAAAGCUGGGGGCCUGGGGACGUCCUUUCUCCCCCGCUUGCGGUGUCCGGGGCAGAGCCGCAGUGAGGGCCAGGGGCAGCGCGCUUGGUUCGCCAGGACCCACUUGAAGCGGACCAGUGGUCCACCGUGAGUUCCCGCUGUUGUGCCCAAUCCCGAAGUGUGUGCGGUCCAGAAUUUUGGUUGAGAUUCUGCUCAGAAAUGCACAGUUGGUGUCCCCCGCCCCUCUAACUUAAACUUAUUGACUGCAGAAGUUUAUGGUAGUGGGGGGGGGCAUGCAUUUCUAGACCCGCCAACAGGGCUGGACGCCUGGAGAAACCUAAGCUAGGGAGUCUCCCGGGUUCUCUUUGUGCCCUGCUCUCCUCCCAGGAGGAGGUAAGUUUCCUUCCCUUGCUGUUUCAGACC
RNAcentral lists this long non-coding RNA (918 nucleotides) under Marmota monax (woodchuck). Lineage: Eukaryota; Metazoa; Chordata; Mammalia; Rodentia; Sciuridae. The record is from RNAcentral.